AAAACUCUAAGCGGUGGAUCACUCGGCUCAUGGGUCGAUGAAGAACGCAGCAAACUGUGCGUCAUCGUGUGAACUGCAGGACACAUGAACAUCGACAUUUUGAACGCAUAUCGCAGUCCAUGCUGUUAUGUACUUUAAUUAAUUUUAUAGUGCUGCUUGGACUACAUAUGGUUGAGGGUUGUAAGACUAUGCUAAUUAAGUUGCUUAUAAAUUUUUAUAAGCAUAUGGUAUAUUAUUGGAUAAAUAUAAUAAUUUUUAUUCAUAAUAUUAAAAAAUAAAUGAAAAACAUUAUCUCACAUUUGAAUGUGAAAAACGAAGAGAAAUAUUUUCUUUUUCAAUCAAAUAAUACUGAGAAAUGUCUAGCAUAAAAAAUUGAAAUAUUUUUCAUCUAGAAUUGUCUCUUAUUAAUGAUUCGGAAAUAGAAAAAUCUUGGUUAUGUUAUUAUUCUUCGUUGGUUCGUUAAAAAUGGAUAAAUAAAAACUUUGCAUACAAGAAUUAAUAAAAAUGUUAUAACGAAUUUAAUUAAAUGUUUUAUCAUUAUAUAUAAAGAAUUUAUGGCAAGAUAAAGUUAUAUACAACCUCAACUCAUAUGGGACUACCCCCUGAAUUUAAGCAUAUUAAUUAGGGGAGGAAAAGAAACUAACAAGGAUUUUCUUAGUAGCGGCGAGCGAAAAGAAAACAGUUCAGCACUAAGUCACUUUGUCUAUAUGGCAAAUGUGAGAUGCAGUGUAUGGAGCGUCAAUAUUCUAGUAUGAGAAAUUAACGAUUUAAGUCCUUCUUAAAUGAGGCCAUUUACCCAUAGAGGGUGCCAGGCCCGUAUAACGUUAAUGAUUACUAGAUGAUGUUUCCAAAGAGUCGUGUUGCUUGAUAGUGCAGCACUAAGUGGGUGGUAAACUCCAUCUAAAACUAAAUAUAACCAUGAGACCGAUAGUAAACAAGUACCGUGAGGGAAAGUUGAAAAGAACUCUGAAUAGAGAGUUAAACAGUACGUGAAACUGCUUAGAGGUUAAGCCCGAUGAACCUGAAUAUCCGUUAUGGAAAAUUCAUCAUUAAAAUUGUAAUAUUUAAAUAAUAUUAUGAGAAUAGUGUGCAUUUUUUCCAUAUAAGGACAUUGUAAUCUAUUAGCAUAUACCAAAUUUAUCAUAAAAUAUAACUUAUAGUUUAUUCCAAUUAAAUUGCUUGCAUUUUAACACAGAAUAAAUGUUAUUAAUUUGAUAAAGUGCUGAUAGAUUUAUAUGAUUACAGUGCGUUAAUUUUUCGGAAUUAUAUAAUGGCAUAAUUAUCAUUGAUUUUUGUGUUUAUUAUAUGCACUUGUAUGAUUAACAAUGCGAAAGAUUCAGGAUACCUUCGGGACCCGUCUUGAAACACGGACCAAGGAGUCUAACAUAUGUGCAAGUUAUUGGGAUAUAAACCUAAUAGCGUAAUUAACUUGACUAAUAAUGGGAUUAGUUUUUUAGCUAUUUAUAGCUAAUUAACACAAUCCCGGGGCGUUCUAUAUAGUUAUGUAUAAUGUAUAUUUAUAUUAUUUAUGCCUCUAACUGGAACGUACCUUGAGCAUAUAUGCUGUGACCCGAAAGAUGGUGAACUAUACUUGAUCAGGUUGAAGUCAGGGGAAACCCUGAUGGAAGACCGAAACAGUUCUGACGUGCAAAUCGAUUGUCAGAAUUGAGUAUAGGGGCGAAAGACCAAUCGAACCAUCUAGUAGCUGGUUCCUUCCGAAGUUUCCCUCAGGAUAGCUGGUGCAUUUUAAUAUUAUAUAAAAUAAUCUUAUCUGGUAAAGCGAAUGAUUAGAGGCCUUAGGGUCGAAACGAUCUUAACCUAUUCUCAAACUUUAAAUGGGUAAGAACCUUAACUUUCUUGAUAUGAAGUUCAAGGUUAUGAUAUAAUGUGCCCAGUGGGCCACUUUUGGUAAGCAGAACUGGCGCUGUGGGAUGAACCAAACGUAAUGUUACGGUGCCCAAAUUAACAACUCAUGCAGAUACCAUGAAAGGCGUUGGUUGCUUAAAACAGCAGGACGGUGAUCAUGGAAGUCGAAAUCCGCUAAGGAGUGUGUAACAACUCACCUGCCGAAGCAACUAGCCCUUAAAAUGGAUGGCGCUUAAGUUGUAUACCUAUACAUUACCGCUAAAGUAGAUGAUUUAUAUUACUUGUGAUAUAAAUUUUGAAACUUUAGUGAGUAGGAAGGUACAAUGGUAUGCGUAGAAGUGUUUGGCGUAAGCCUGCAUGGAGCUGCCAUUGGUACAGAUCUUGGUGGUAGUAGCAAAUAAUCGAAUGAGACCUUGGAGGACUGAAGUGGAGAAGGGUUUCGUGUGAACAGUGGUUGAUCACGAGUUAGUCGGUCCUAAGUUCAAGGCGAAAGCCGAAAAUUUUCAAGUAAAACAAAAAUGCCUAACUAUAUAAACAAAGCGAAUUAUAAUACACUUGAAUAAUUUUGAACGAAAGGGAAUACGGUUCCAAUUCCGUAACCUGUUGAGUAUCCGUUUGUUAUUAAAUAUGGGCCUCGUGCUCAUCCUGGCAACAGGAACGACCAUAAAGAAGCCGUCGAGAGAUAUCGGAAGAGUUUUCUUUUCUGUUUUAUAGCCGUACUACCAUGGAAGUCUUUCGCAGAGAGAUAUGGUAGAUGGGCUAGAAGAGCAUGACAUAUACUGUUGUGUCGAUAUUUUCUCCUCGGACCUUGAAAAUUUAUGGUGGGGACACGCAAACUUCUCAACAGGCCGUACCAAUAUCCGCAGCUGGUCUCCAAGGUGAAGAGUCUCUAGUCGAUAGAAUAAUGUAGGUAAGGGAAGUCGGCAAAUUAGAUCCGUAACUUCGGGAUAAGGAUUGGCUCUGAAGAUUGAGAUAGUCGGGCUUGAUUGGGAAACAAUAACAUGGUUUAUGUGCUCGUUCUGGGUAAAUAGAGUUUCUAGCAUUUAUGUUAGUUACUUGUUCCCCGGAUAGUUUAGUUACGUAGCCAAUUGUGGAACUUUCUUGCUAAAAUUUUUAAGAAUACUAUUUGGGUUAAACCAAUUAGUUCUUAUUAAUUAUAACGAUUAUCAAUUAACAAUCAAUUCAGAACUGGCACGGACUUGGGGAAUCCGACUGUCUAAUUAAAACAAAGCAUUGUGAUGGCCCUAGCGGGUGUUGACACAAUGUGAUUUCUGCCCAGUGCUCUGAAUGUCAAAGUGAAGAAAUUCAAGUAAGCGCGGGUCAACGGCGGGAGUAACUAUGACUCUCUUAAGGACUCACGGAGUCCGCUACCAUCAACUGAGAGGUACAACUUGUUCGCCCAAUAUUUUUCUAUUGCCGGACGCGAUAACAGUUCAUUUUGUUCAGCUAAUAAUCUAUCUCGGGCCCGUUGUUUUUCGGCUUCGAGGAAAGAGCUGGCUACCUCGUUUUGCGUGAGGUGAGGCCAUUUAAUGUUACUCAAGCGUCUUAGCCUUAACAUUGGAGCUACCCAUCUUAGUGAUGGAAUUCCGAGACCUCCACUUUUUGGGGGUGCAUGAACAAAUGCUAUCGGCACAUCCAGCGGAAGAUUUAGCCAUCUUCGCACAUAAUAUCUUAUAAGUUUAUCAGUUUUUCUUAGGACGCCUAUCGCCACACUCCCAAGGGCUAACUUGUGGUAGAGCUGUGGGAUAAGGACAGUCCGAAGGGCGAACAACCUCUGUUGUGGUUUGAGGGGGGCCUUUGUCAAUCUUUGUAGCUUUGGACCAAUGUCCUCGGCCGGAUUGCAUCGAACCCUCCCGGUUGCAGUGAAGUUGAUGCCUAAGUACUUCCACUCGUCCGUGCGCUUCAGUGAUGGAAUCUCACUCGAGCCUACGUAGAAGCUCUGUGCCUCUAACACGGUACACUUCUGUUUCGGCUGGCCCUUAAUGCCAACGGUAAAACAUUUGUCGGCAUUAAGUUUGAGGCCGACGAUAGAUAGAAAAUCCAACGUCUUGUCCAACAAUACUUGAAGCCCCAUCCGAGUUUC
This 3949-nucleotide ribosomal RNA is filed under the name Drosophila melanogaster (fruit fly). RNAcentral's name for it is "eukaryotic LSU rRNA". The stretch from base 576 to 3949 matches the Rfam family "Eukaryotic large subunit ribosomal RNA". Lineage: Eukaryota; Metazoa; Arthropoda; Insecta; Diptera; Drosophilidae. The record is from RNAcentral.